Megalobrama amblycephala (Wuchang bream) is the source of this 820-nucleotide long non-coding RNA. RefSeq lists it as uncharacterized. Lineage: Eukaryota; Metazoa; Chordata; Actinopteri; Cypriniformes; Xenocyprididae. The transcript has 2 exons. The record is from RefSeq and is a predicted model, not a curated record.
UCCAUUACAGAUUUGAUAAUUAUAUUUAAUUGGUGAUUAUUCGUAUCCUCGUAAAAUAAACUUUGUUUGUCUAUAAAUUUGCGUUUUUCUCAGUAAAAAAGUUAGAUGAAUCGCUUCUCUCUAAUAAUGUGAGAAGUGUUGUCUCUCGCACGCGGUAUUUUUACACAAUCGAUCAAUGCAGUUUCUCUUGUGUUGCACAUAUGACUCGUUCCGUGAGCACUAACGAGUGUACAAGAAACCAAACAAGGGCACAAAAGAGAAACUCGAGACACUCACGCAUCCACGGAGAAAGAAAUGACCAAAGACAUCGUUGAUCCAAAUGUUUGACCGUUCCAGGUAGCCAUAUCUCAGGAGCUGCUGGUGCUGAGUCAUGUUGAGUCAGAAGGAGGCCACUCUUAUCUCCUGUCUCCAGGAGGACUUUUUCAGGCUGUUGGGUGUGGGGUGAAACAGGAACCCUGGAUGAUGGUGGCUUGUUUUUUUCAGGACAACCUGUUAUUUGUGUAGGUUUGUGACCCUCUGGAGAGCCAGAAAGUUUUUCUUCUUGUGAUAUCAUAAUAAACGGAGUAAAAACUGGCUGUGACAUUACAGAGGGACAGUCUAAUCUCCAGAGACGACAUUGAGGGAAUGCUUUUGGUGUAGGGUGACUCAGCAAACUGUGUUCUAGCUCCAGACAUUGCCAGCAGAGCAGAGAAGAGACUCGCAGAGCCACUGAGGUGCAUGAUGACUCGCACAAACUGCUAUGGCUGAGAGCAUGCGUAGCCUUUUUGGGGGUUAUGAUAAUAAAUGUGUUUUCUUCAGUCAAUAAACUUUUGGACUGUUA